CCUACGCGUGGCAGCAGUGGGGAAUAUUGCACAAUGGGGGAAACCCUGAUGCAGCGACGCCGCGUGAGUGAAGAAGGAUUUCGGAACGUAAAGCUCUAUCAGCAGGGAAGAAAAUGACGGUAACUGACUAAGAAGCCCAGGCUAACUACGUGCCAGCAGCCGCGGUAAUACGGAGGGAGCAAGCGUUAUCCGGAUUUAAUGGGUGUAAAGGGAGCGUAGGCGGCAGCGCAAGUCUGAAGUGAAAUCCCAAGGCUGAACCAUGGAACUGCUUUGGAAACUGUGCAGCUGGAGUGCAGGAGAGGUAAGCGGAAUUUCUAGUGUAGCGGUGAAAUGCGUAGAGAUUAGGAGGAACACCAGUGGCGAAGGCGGCUUACUGGACUGUAACUGACGUUGAGGCUCGAAAGCGUGGGGAGCAAACAGGAUUAGAUACCCUGGUAGUC
This 440-nucleotide ribosomal RNA is filed under the name uncultured bacterium. RNAcentral describes it as "partial 16S ribosomal RNA". It matches the Rfam family "Bacterial small subunit ribosomal RNA", at positions 338 to 795 of the family's 1533-position model. The record is from RNAcentral.